CCUACGGGAGGCAGCAGUGAGGAAUAUUGGUCAAUGGACGAGAGUCUGAACCAGCCAAGUAGCGUGAAGGAUGACUGCCCUAUGGGUUGUAAACUUCUUUUAUAUGGGAAUAAAAUGUUCCACGUGUGGGAUUUUGUAUGUACCAUAUGAAUAAGGAUCGGCUAACUCCGUGCCAGCAGCCGCGGUAAUUCGGAGGAUCCGAGCGUUAUCCGGAUUUAUUGGGUUUAAAGGGAGCGUAGGUGGAUUGUUAAGUCAGUUGUGAAAGUUUGCGGCUCAACCGUAAAAUUGCAGUUGAAACUGGCAGUCUUGAGUACAGUAGAGGUGGGCGGAAUUCGUGGUGUAGCGGUGAAAUGCUUAGAUAUCACGAAGAACUCCGAUUGCGAAGGCAGUUCACUGGACUGCAACUGACACUGAGGCUCGAAAGUGUGGGUAUCAAACAGGAUUAGAUACCCGAGUAGUC
This 460-nucleotide ribosomal RNA is filed under the name uncultured bacterium. RNAcentral describes it as "partial 16S ribosomal RNA". It matches the Rfam family "Bacterial small subunit ribosomal RNA", at positions 338 to 795 of the family's 1533-position model. The record is from RNAcentral.